This 254-nucleotide ribosomal RNA is filed under the name uncultured bacterium. Its description in RNAcentral is "partial 16S ribosomal RNA". It matches the Rfam family "Bacterial small subunit ribosomal RNA", at positions 524 to 777 of the family's 1533-position model. The record is from RNAcentral.
GACAGAGGGUGCAAACGUUGUUCGGAAUUACUGGGCGUAAAGCGCGUGUAGGCGGCCCAGCAAGUCGGAUGUGAAAGCCCUGGGCUUAACCUAGGAAGUGCAUUCGAAACUGCUGGGCUUGAGUUCUGGAGAGGAAGGCGGAAUUCUCGGUGUAGAGGUGAAAUUCGUAGAUAUCGAGAGGAACACCGGUGGCGAAGGCGGCCUUCUGGACAGUGACUGACGCUGAGACGCGAAAGCGUGGGGAGCAAACAGGG